AAAAUAUGUGACAUUAAUGAGGAUAAACAAAUUAUUAUGUAGAUUGUAAUUUAUUUAAUUGUGUAAUUGCAGUGUAUAACAUAUUAUGCAUAACAUUAUUUAAAAUUUUUGACUGUAGAAUUAAAUCAAAAAUAGAAUAGUCUAGUCUAUAUGAAAAUUAUUACGCUAAACAAAUAUCUGUUCAGGAAUAAAAUAAAAAUAAAUACAGCUCAUACACAGUAGUUCUAUGCUGUGUAAGUGCUAUAUUUUUUUAAAAUUUCACUCUUGGAUUAUAAGCAGUUUUAAUGAGAACAUUAAAUAUCUUUCCAUGCCUUUUUGCCUUUGUAAUAGAAAGGGAGGGGCCUAUGCAGCCCAAGCACUGCGACAAUAUCUUUCCAUUAUUCCAUUAAAAUAUUCUUACAGAGAAGUUAUAAUUUAUGAUACCAAUCAUAAAAUCAUAUCAGAACUGUAAUAACAUUAUACAAAUAAAAUUUAAAGUAAC
This 481-nucleotide long non-coding RNA is filed under the name Androctonus crassicauda. Lineage: Eukaryota; Metazoa; Arthropoda; Arachnida; Scorpiones; Buthidae. The record is from RNAcentral.